This 1271-nucleotide long non-coding RNA is filed under the name Vulpes vulpes (red fox). Its description in RNAcentral is "lncRNA (ENSVVUG00000018931.1)". The record is from RNAcentral. Lineage: Eukaryota; Metazoa; Chordata; Mammalia; Carnivora; Canidae.
GGUGAAAGUCAUUGCUUCCCAGGCAGGCCGGUGUCAAGGACAAGUUCCCGUAGUUCACGGUACUUACGUCCUGCAGAGUCUGCAGCCACUGACCUGGGCUGGUCCCCGGCGCUGCUGCACCAGUUCCUGCUACAGAUGCUCACGGCAUGUGCGUCCCCUGAGCGCCCUGCCACCUGCCAUCCACGUGUUUCUGAUUCAAGUCGCUGUAUUCGCCACAUACUGCAGACCCGCGGCUGCUGAGUUGGUGGCCAGGCCUGAGGCCACCCUCAGGGUUUCUCCGCAAGCCAUGUCAUGCCCUCGUGGCCCCAGACAGCUUCCCGGCACUUCGCUUGGGGGGCAUUUUAAAUGGUGAAAUCACCAAGAAAAACACACAAAUGUGAAGGGCAAGGCCGCAGGACCUGUGGUGAGGCAGGGGUACAAGAGGGAGCAGCCUCCCGCAGAGCAUGGAGCCCGACAUGGGAUCCCCCAGGCCCCAGGAUCGCAGCCUGAGCCAAAGGCCCCUGGGCACCCCGAGAGCAUGUGUGAGGGCAGGAGGCAGUAACGCUGGGGCAGCCCUGAGCAGCACGGCCGCACACACACCCGGCCAGGCAGAGCCUCCCCUGGGCCCAGGGCCAUGCCUGCGUCAGCCGGUGUGGGGGCGAGGACCGGGUGGCCCCGUAUGCCUGUCAGGGAUGAGACCUCCCCUGCGUCUCAGUCCACACUGCCUGACGCUGCCUCAGCCACACAGGCAGCUGAGCCCACAAGGGGACCUGCUGCCAGCUCCAUCACUUUGUCAGGUGAGGCCCUGCAUCCAAGUGCGAAUUGAGCCGAAGGCUGAGCCUAGAGCCCUGGGGCAGAGAGGCUCAUACGGUGACAGCGCCUGUCCUGGGCACAGGGCCAGCAGGUCUGUGUUACUGCCUCACCCGUGUCCUGCAAGGAGACUCAGACAGAUAGCCAAGCAGGAGACCGUGGGUGGGUGCCCGUCGGGCCUGUGCCCGCAACGUUCCUGCCCUGCCAGCCCCUGGUCUCCGGGGGCCCCUGUCACCCCGACUCUGGUAACUUCAACGCCCAGCCUGAAAGCAGACAGCCCGACGGAGCAGCCACUUUGGAGCCGCCUGUGGUCUCAGGGACUUCCCCGUGGUGACACCUGGCACUGCGUGUCUCCAGGCCUUGACGCCCCCACGUCCCUGCGGGGGAGGGAGGAGCAGAGGCCACUAUCGGGUGGACACACACACUGUGUGGACCAUGACUUGUGCGGCUCCCUGUGUCCUCCUGCAAAGCUGCCCCGCUGA